AAUCUAGUGCAGUGCUUAUAUUCUUGGGCUCUGGAGUUAAAUAGAAGGCCUGGGUUGAACCCCUACUCUGCCACUUGGGAGCUGUGUAGCUUCAGGCAAACUGAAAAAAAGUCUCAUUGCUCUCCUCUGUGAAACGGGGACAGGAAUUGACCUCAGAGAGCUGCUAUAAGAAUGAAUAAGAUACACAUAUUAUGCUAUUAUCCUAGCCCUCUACCUUACACAUCAUAUUUGGUCAUUUAAUAUUAGCUGUUAGUACCAUGGUAAUAGUUUAGGAUUUGGUAAGCAGAACUCCAUCACGCAAUGAGUCACUGUAACAUCAAUGCCGAUAGACCAAGGAUAAAUCAUAUUUAUCAACGUGGUUGAAUCUAGAAUAACACAGGUCUGAAAUGCAAUCAGCUUAUGAAGUAUAUAUGAAUUACGCUUUCUAUUCUAGUGUUAUAAGUUGAACCACUGUAUCUAAUAUCAUCAGAAUUUACCCUAAAAGAAAGGACUAUUGUAAUUGUAAAUGAUAGCAGAGGAGAAUAAAGGCCACCAUCAUGGAAAUAAAUGUCAGUAGAAACCC
RNAcentral lists this non-coding RNA (562 nucleotides) under Pan troglodytes (chimpanzee). Lineage: Eukaryota; Metazoa; Chordata; Mammalia; Primates; Hominidae. The record is from RNAcentral.